CCUACGGGUGGCAGCAGUAGGGAAUCUUUCACAAUGGGCGAAAGCCUGAUGGAGCAACGCCGCGUGCAGGAUGAAGGCCUUCGGGUUGUAAACUGCUUUUAUAAGCGAGAAAUAUGAUGGUAACUUAUGAAUAAGGAUCGGCUAACUACGUGCCAGCAGCCGCGGUCAUACGUAGGAUCCGAGCAUUAUCCGGAGUGACUGGGUGUAAAGAGUUGCGUAGGUGGCAUAAUAAGUAGCUAGUGAAAUCUGGUGGCUCAACCAUUAAGACUAUUAGCUAAACUGUUAAGCUCGAGACCGUUAGGGGUAACUGGAAUUUCUAGUGUAGGAGUGAAAUCCGUAGAUAGUAGAAGGAACACCAAUAGCGUAGGCAGGUUGCUGGGACGGUUCUGACACUAAGGCACGAAAGCGUAGGGAGCAAACGGGAUUAGAUACCCCUGUAGUC
Molecule: ribosomal RNA, 442 nt
Filed under: uncultured bacterium
Lineage: Bacteria
Description: partial 16S ribosomal RNA
Rfam family: Bacterial small subunit ribosomal RNA
Source: RNAcentral